RNAcentral lists this ribosomal RNA (425 nucleotides) under uncultured bacterium. RNAcentral describes it as "partial 16S ribosomal RNA". It matches the Rfam family "Bacterial small subunit ribosomal RNA", at positions 354 to 796 of the family's 1533-position model. The record is from RNAcentral.
GUGGGGAAUAUUGGACAAUGGGCGCAAGCCUGAUCCAGCCAUGCCGCGUGAGUGAUGAAGGCCUUAGGGUUGUAAAGCUCUUUCACCGAUGAAGAUAAUGACGGUAGUCGGAGAAGAAGCCCCGGCUAACUUCGUGCCAGCAGCCGCGGUAAUACGAAGGGGGCUAGCGUUGUUCGGAAUUACUGGGCGUAAAGCGCACGUAGGCGGAUAUUUAAGUCAGGGGUGAAAUCCCAGAGCUCAACUCUGGAACUGCCUUUGAUACUGGGUAUCUCGAGUAUGGAAGAGGUGAGUGGAAUUCCGAGUGUAGAGGUGAAAUUCGUAGAUAUUCGGAGGAACACCAGUGGCGAAGGCGGCUCACUGGUCCAUUACUGACGCUGAGGUGCGAAAGCGUGGGGAGCAAACAGGAUUAGAAACCCCGGUAGUCC